CUGGGUGGGCAGAAUCCAGCACAUAGCUGAGUAUCUGUGAUAAUGAAAGUGGGUGUCUACUCCCAGCCCCAAGCCAAGGCUCAGGUGGUGUGUUGAUAACAGUACAGCACAUUGAAAGUGAGCCAUAAUGAGCAGCGAUAUGAUGAAGAAUACAUGGAACUGGAUUACUGGAUCACUAAGCAACACUCACCGGACCAGUUCAGUCUAGGGUCCAUUCCAUUAAUCCAAUGGAAUAACUCAAGCAUGUAGAUGUGUGUGUGUGAAUGAGUGUGAGGGUGAGCGUGAGAGUGUUUCUCACAUUACUUGUAUAAUGUACAUUUUGUGUUUUGUGCUUACUUUACCAUAGAGCAGAUGAGACAGUAUCUUGGAAACUGUCUACAUACAUAAACUGGGUUAUAGGAGUUUUGGUCCAUAGUUCUCUCCAAGAACAUGCACAGAACCAUAUGGUUGAUUUUCUUACUACAGUCAUAUAGAGAAUUCUUCAUUUGUAAAGUGAAUCUAUGCCAGGGCUCUCCAGCCCUGUUUCUGGAGCGCUACCCUCCUGUAGGUUUUCACUCCAACCCCAGUUGUAACAAUCCUGAUUCAGCUCAUCAACCAGCUAAUUAUUAGAAUCAGGUGUGCUAGAUUAGGAUUGGAGCGAAAACCUACAGGACGGUAGCUCUCCAGGAAGAGUGUUGGAGAGCCCUGAUCUAUGCAAAGCUGGGAUUCUGGCAUUCUUUUGAUGUCAUUUCGUUUUUUGCUAUACUGUACUUUACAUGUGUAAUAAGAAAUGUUUCUGAUGAAUUUGAGAUUUAGAUAAGUUAGUCCAUUUAGAAUGACUACAUUUCAUUCUCUGAAAGUCCACAAUUGAGAUAUUCCACCCAGUUAUCUAUACAUGUAUCUUCCUGUCCCAAGCAUUUACUGUACAAGAUAUUACUUUGAUAAAGGAGCGGUAUAUUAAUGCUCAUAAUAACUCAAACCCCACAUCUACAGUAUAUUCAGAUUGCAUACCGUUGGCACCUUGCCGUUGGCCUCUUACUAUGACAAACAGACACAGCAGUGUGUGGAUUUAUUCAAACCUGUGGUUGUAAAGCAUUAACAUGGACCUCAGGCUGAGUAAGACUUCCAGUCUAUGGAAUGGAUUUGGAGUUAAUCCCCAGUGUGCAUUGAGGCCAUUAGUUAUUCUGAAAGAGUGAUUUACACCUUCACGUCAGCAGCCACUGCACAAGCCUACGUCUUAGUCAGUACUCAGCCCUCAUGGAGUAGAGGGAGAACUUUCCUAUACAGUCAGUCACACCCUGAUGCAUAAACCUCAACCCUUACUGGAGCGCAGUUCACACACCGUAGCUACUGUAGUGGGAUAUCUGACAGCGCUCGUUCAAAACAAAAGCCAUAUUAACUGUGUUCUGUGUGUGUGUGUGGUCUCAUAAUGCUGCAGAGGACUCUCAGCCUCUGUCUCACAAUAUUAGACACAUUAGCAAUAUAUUUGAUACCAUCGUCAUACCUCUAAAUGAGAUUUUCAAUCAGGUUCAUUGGACUCCCGGGGAGCUUCUUGGAAUAGCAGUAAUGAAUAAAGGACAUUUAUUUAAGUGUUUGUUCAUUGUUUCCUUUUUAUAUACAGUAGUCAAUGUUUUGUUUGAAGCUAAGCAGAUGUAGCAAAAAGCCAUGGUUCUUGUGCAUUUAGCGAGCACUUAGCAAGCAACCAAUGUAGAAAGAAAUCUAGAUGUGGGAACCUGUAUUUUCUUAGGCCUAUUUGAAGAAAAUGGGGCAUAUAUUUUGGUGCAAAAGCUUUUCAUAGACAGCUGACAUUUAGUAGUGAUUGUUUGAUGGUAACUGAAAAUAGAUUGGCCAAAGAAAAAACAAUUACACCAGUGUUAUAAUUCAUGAAGAAUCUCAAUUAGAUCAUUCAUUUGAAAUAUGUGUGCUAUUUUUUUAGUUUGAAUAUUUGUGGCUCUUCACAGCUUUUAUUAUUGAUAAUAAGCGCUUCCUUUUCAAUGCUUUAGGAUUGUUGGGUAUUUUAUGAGAAAGAAUAGCUUUUCAGAAUGUACUAUACUUGUUUUAAUUUGCAUUUUGUUCUUAUUUGUUGGUGUUACUUUUUAAAACCAUAACUUUACAUUUGAAUUGAAUUUGUAAAAAACUAAGGAUACAACAUUUUAAUUAAAUUCAGGGAUUUCAAAAUCAGCCUAAGAUUUGUAUUUCUGUUUGUGUCAAAACAUGAAAUCCCCAUUUUUGUUUGUAUGCUCUUUUGAGAUAAAAUGUACUGGUAGUUUGUUUUUCUAUUGUUUUUCUACUGUUUUUCUACCUGCUGUCCCUUUCUCAAAACAACGCUUUGUGUAGCCUGUCGUUGUUGUUACUAUUUUAUUUUAUUUUAUUGUCAUUGAGGCAGUUGUCUCUUCUGUACGUCUGGAUGUUGUUGUAUUUUCAAAUAAUUUGAUUUUAUAAAGAAACUUCUCUUUUA
Molecule: long non-coding RNA, 2437 nt
Organism: Oncorhynchus tshawytscha (Chinook salmon)
Lineage: Eukaryota; Metazoa; Chordata; Actinopteri; Salmoniformes; Salmonidae
Source: Ensembl